This 544-nucleotide ribosomal RNA is filed under the name uncultured bacterium. Its description in RNAcentral is "bacterial SSU rRNA". It matches the Rfam family "Bacterial small subunit ribosomal RNA", at positions 777 to 1329 of the family's 1533-position model. The record is from RNAcentral.
AAUAGAUACCCAGGUAGUCCACGCCGUAAACGAUGGAUACUAGCUGUAGGGGGGUAUCGACCCCCUCUGUAGCGAAGCUAACGCGUUAAGUAUCCCGCCUGUGGAGUACGGUCGCAAGACUAAAACAUAAAGGAAUUGACGGGGACCCGCACAAGCGGUGGAUCAUGUUCUUUAAUUCGAUGCUAAACGAAGAACCUUACCAGGGUUUGACAUCCCGAGAAUUUUGCCGAAAGGCGAGAGUGCUUUAUUGAACUCGGUGACAGAUGAUGCAUGGCCGUCGUCAGCUCGUGUCGUGAGAUGUUUGGUUAAGUCCAUCAACGAGCGCAACCCUUGUGAUUAGUUGUAUUUUUCUAAUCAGACUGCCCCGGUAACGGGGAGGAAGGAGGGGAUGAUGUCAGGUCAGUAUUUCUCUUACAUCCUGGGCUAGAAACGUGAUACAAUGGCCGAUACAAUGCGCAUACGCCAACCCGGCGAGGGGGAGCAAAUCGCAUCAAAGUCGGUCCCAGUUCGGAUAAGAGGCUGAAACUCGCCUCUUUGAAGUCGG